GAUGAAGAACGCAGCGAAAUGCGAUACCUGGUGUGAAUUGCAGAAUCCCGCGAACCAUCGAGUCUUUGAACGCAAGUUGCGCCCGAGGCCACCCGGCCGAGGGCACGCCUGCCUGGGCGUCACGCCAAAACACGCUCCCACCCCCCCUCACCGGGGGAGCGGGACGCGGCGUCUGGCCCCCCGUGCCGCGAGGCGCGGUGGGCCGAAGAUCGGGCUGCCGGCGUACCGUGCCGGGCACAGCGCGUGGUGGAUCUCUACUCGGCGCAGUGCACCCGGCGCGUAGCCGGCGCAGCGGCCCCUAAGGACCCAACGAACGGAGCGCGAGCCGCUCCGACCGCGACCCCAGGUCAGGCGGGACUACCCGCUGAGUUUAAGCAUAUCAAUAAGCGGAGGA
Molecule: unclassified non-coding RNA, 394 nt
Filed under: soil metagenome
Description: partial contains 5.8S ribosomal RNA, internal transcribed spacer 2, and large subunit ribosomal RNA
Rfam family: 5.8S ribosomal RNA (bases 1-122)
Source: RNAcentral